UGAGGAAUAUUGGUCAAUGGACGAGAGUCUGAACCAGCCAAGUAGCGUGAAGGAUGAAGGUCCUACGGAUUGUAAACUUCUUUUAUAAGGGAAUAAACCCUCCCACGUGUGGGAGCUUGUAUGUACCUUAUGAAUAAGCAUCGGCUAACUCCGUGCCAGCAGCCGCGGUAAUACGGAGGAUGCGAGCGUUAUCCGGAUUUAUUGGGUUUAAAGGGAGCGCAGACGGGUCGUUAAGUCAGCUGUGAAAGUUUGGGGCUCAACCUUAAAAUUGCAGUUGAUACUGGCGUCCUUGAGUGCGGUUGAGGUGUGCGGAAUUCGUGGUGUAGCGGUGAAAUGCUUAGAUAUCACGAAGAACUCCGAUUGCGAAGGCAGCACACUAAUCCGUAACUGACGUUCAUGCUCGAAAGUGUGGGUAUCAAACAGG
RNAcentral lists this ribosomal RNA (424 nucleotides) under Phocaeicola plebeius. RNAcentral describes it as "partial 16S ribosomal RNA". It matches the Rfam family "Bacterial small subunit ribosomal RNA", at positions 355 to 776 of the family's 1533-position model. The record is from RNAcentral. Lineage: Bacteria; Pseudomonadati; Bacteroidota; Bacteroidia; Bacteroidales; Bacteroidaceae. RNAcentral also lists the same sequence under 4 other names.